Molecule: ribosomal RNA, 119 nt
Filed under: Kryptolebias marmoratus (mangrove rivulus)
Lineage: Eukaryota; Metazoa; Chordata; Actinopteri; Cyprinodontiformes; Rivulidae
Source: RNAcentral
GCUUAUGGCCAUACCACUCCGAGUAAACCUGUUCUCGUCUGACAUCAGAAGCAAUGAAGGGUUGGGCCUGAUUAGUAUUUGUAUGGGAGACCUCCUGGGAAUACCAGGUGCUGUGGAUC